CGUGUAGGUGGCUAAUUAAGUCAGGUGUGAAAUCCUUCCGCUUAACGGGAGAAGUGCACUUGAAACUGCUUAGCUAGAGUACGGGAGAGGAAGGUGGAAUUCCUGGUGUAGAGGUGAAAUUCAUAGAUAUCGGGAAGAACACCGGUGGCGAAGGCGGCCUUCUGGCCCGAUACUGACGCUGAGACGCGAAAGCGUGGGGAGCAAACAGGAUUAGAUACCCUGGUAGUCCACGCCGUAAACGUUGGGCACUAGGUGUGGGAGGUUUUUAUUCCUUCUUUGCCGAAGCUAACGCAUUAAGUGCCCCGCCUGGGGAGUACGGUCGCAAGGCUAAA
This 332-nucleotide ribosomal RNA is filed under the name uncultured bacterium. RNAcentral describes it as "bacterial SSU rRNA". It matches the Rfam family "Bacterial small subunit ribosomal RNA", at positions 568 to 898 of the family's 1533-position model. The record is from RNAcentral.